GGGGGUACAGUACAGAGUCAAUGUGGAGGCUAUAUACAGGGGAACCGGUACAGAGUCAAUGUGGAGGCUAUAUACAGGGGGUACCAGUACAGAGUCAAUGUGGAGGCUAUAUACAGGGGGUACCGGUACAGAGUCAAUGUGGAGGCUAUAUACAGGUGGUACCAGUACAGAGUCAAUGUGGAGGCUAUAUACAGGGGGUACCAGUACAGAGUCAAUGUGGAGGCUAUAUACAGGGGGUACCGGUACAGAGUCAAUGUGGAGGCUAUAUACAGGGGGUACCAGUACAGAGUCAAUGUGGAGGCUAUAUACAGGGUGUACCAGUACAGAGUCAAUGUGGAGGCUAUAUACAGGGGGUACCAGUACAGAGUCAAUGUGGAGGCUAUAUACAGGGUGUACCAGUACAGAGUCAAUGUGGAGGCUAUAUACAGGGGGUACCAGUACAGAGUCAAUGUGGAGGCUAUAUACUGG
This is a long non-coding RNA of Oncorhynchus tshawytscha (Chinook salmon), 468 nucleotides long. Lineage: Eukaryota; Metazoa; Chordata; Actinopteri; Salmoniformes; Salmonidae. The record is from Ensembl.